CAGUUAAGAACACAUUCUUAUUUACAAUGUUAUGUAUUGCUCAUCAUUGUUGUCGGCUGUUGUUUACUUAUUUAUUUGUUGUCUCAUCACAUUAUUUUACAAAAAAAAACGGAAACGUAGCUAACACAUCAGUAUUUAUUGUUUCGACGGGUCUUUUUAGUGGUAUGGGGUUCCAGUAUGGCGUCGCUGGUCGCAUUGAUUGACAGAUCAUCCCUGAAGUUGUUUUAUUACGUAAAAGUUGUUUCACAUUAUGACGUUGGCUGAGUUACCGUAUAAAAUGCGAUAGCCUUAUCUCUUUGGUAAUCACUUGGUUAAGUUUUACGUGAUGAGAACAUAAGCUCCAGUCAUAGACUUUAACCAUGGAGGAUAAUAAGGAUAAUAAGAGUUUAAACGAAGAUGAUCCACAUGAUCAUCAAAGUUUGGAAGGUCAAGUCCAGAAAAUGAAGAAAGAUAUCCUGGGUUUAAACUAUCCAGAAGAUAGUGAAGUGAAGGAUCCCCUGCAUCAGAUCGAGCUGAAGGCUGUGACAAGGAAAAAAGUUAAGGUGAGACAAUAGAUUGAGGAGAGAAAGGGAAAUCUGGGGUCUUACCUGUCCACACUCCAAACCUGUCCAAUAUGCCAUACAACAUGCUGUUGUGAGGUUGGAGGGUAAAUUGUCCUUACAACAGACUUCCAUAAUAAUAUUCAAUCACCAAUCGUUUACCCUAGCUCUUCUCAAAGGCCUGUAUAGCAACGGCAACAUACAGUAUGUCACUGACUGUAUUGUCUUUUUAGACAAAGAGGAGGACCGGUGCCAACAGGUCCACAGUUGAACAGAGCACUGAUACUGAUGCAGCUGAGAGAGAUUUUGUUGAUAAUCAGAAUGAUGAAGAUGAGGAAGAGGUGAAGAAGGAUCCCCUGCCUCAGAUGGAGCAGGAUGCCGUGAAGAGAAAUAAAGUCAAGGUAAGGGAAUAGAUUGAGCAGAGAUGUGGAUAUUUGUGAUAUCUUUCAUGUCUAUAACCUGACCCUACAGCAUGUUGUUCUGAGGAAGGUAAAUUGCCCAUACAAUACCCUUUUAUCUUCUAAUAGUAAAUCUAGGGCUGACCCCAUUUGGUCGAUUGUUUGGUCGAUAGGCUAUUGGUUGACUGGGAUUUCUUAAGUCGAGCAGUCGCAAAAGUUUUUUUUCUUCAUGGUGCACAUGGACACCUGUCUGAUUCGCGCCUGUCACAGUUGACUAAUCCAUUGCCGAGGCCACAGUGAUGGCACAGU
Molecule: long non-coding RNA, 1246 nt
Filed under: Salmo trutta (river trout)
Lineage: Eukaryota; Metazoa; Chordata; Actinopteri; Salmoniformes; Salmonidae
Description: lncRNA (ENSSTUG00000014323.1)
Source: RNAcentral